Otolemur garnettii (small-eared galago) is the source of this 105-nucleotide small nuclear RNA. Lineage: Eukaryota; Metazoa; Chordata; Mammalia; Primates; Galagidae. The record is from Ensembl.
GUUCUUGAUUUGGCAGCACAGCUACUAAAAUUUGAACAAUCCAGAGAAGUUAGCAUGGUCUCUGUGCAAGGAUGACACGCAAAUUUUGAAGCAUUCCGUAUUUUU